Molecule: non-coding RNA, 29 nt
Filed under: Mus musculus (house mouse)
Lineage: Eukaryota; Metazoa; Chordata; Mammalia; Rodentia; Muridae
Source: RNAcentral
UAUUCUGGGUCCCCACUGAUUAUCCCUGC